UACAGAGGGUGCAAGCGUUGUUCGGAAUUACUGGGCGUAAAGCGCACGUAGGCGGCUUUUUAAGUCAGGGGUGAAAUCCCGGAGCUCAACUCCGGAACUGCCCUUGAAACUGGGAAGCUAGAAUCUUGGAGAGGCGAGUGGAAUUCCGAGUGUAGAGGUGAAAUUCGUAGAUAUUCGGAAGAACACCAGUGGCGAAGGCGACUCGCUGGACAAGUAUUGACGCUGAGGUGCGAAAGCGUGGGGAGCAAACAGG
Molecule: ribosomal RNA, 253 nt
Filed under: uncultured bacterium
Lineage: Bacteria
Description: partial 16S ribosomal RNA
Rfam family: Bacterial small subunit ribosomal RNA
Source: RNAcentral